GUUAAUGUAGCAAAACCUGGUCAUGCAGAAGAUCUAAGCCCUUUUUACAGAGGUUCAAAUCCUCUCAUUAACUCCU
RNAcentral lists this transfer RNA (76 nucleotides) under Agalychnis dacnicolor (Mexican giant tree frog). Its description in RNAcentral is "Pachymedusa dacnicolor tRNA-Leu". It matches the Rfam family "tRNA". Rfam says of the family: Transfer RNA (tRNA) molecules are approximately 80 nucleotides in length. Their secondary structure includes four short double-helical elements and three loops (D, anti-codon, and T loops). Further hydrogen bonds mediate the characteristic L-shaped molecular structure. tRNAs have two regions of fundamental functional importance: the anti-codon, which is responsible for specific mRNA codon recognition, and the 3' end, to which the tRNAs corresponding amino acid is attached (by aminoacyl-tRNA synthetases). tRNAs cope with the degeneracy of the genetic code in two manners: having more than one tRNA (with a specific anti-codon) for a particular amino acid; and 'wobble' base-pairing, i.e. permitting non-standard base-pairing at the 3rd anti-codon position. Lineage: Eukaryota; Metazoa; Chordata; Amphibia; Anura; Hylidae. The record is from RNAcentral.